Molecule: ribosomal RNA, 292 nt
Filed under: uncultured bacterium
Lineage: Bacteria
Description: partial 16S ribosomal RNA
Rfam family: Bacterial small subunit ribosomal RNA
Source: RNAcentral
UAUAUCCUACGGGGGGCAGCAGUGGGGAAUAUUGCACAAUGGGGGAAACCCUGAUGCAGCGACGCCGCGUGAGCGAAGAAGUAUUUCGGUAUGUAAAGCUCUAUCAGCAGGGAAGAAGAAAGACGGUACCUGAGUAAGAAGCCCCGGCUAACUACGUGCCAGCAGCCGCGGUAAUACGUAGGGGGCAAGCGUUAUCCGGAUUUACUGGGUGUAAAGGGAGCGUAGACGGCAUGGCAAGUCUGAAGUGAAAGCCCCGGGCUCAACCUGGGAACUGCUUUGGAAACUGUUAAAC